RNAcentral lists this ribosomal RNA (467 nucleotides) under uncultured bacterium. Its description in RNAcentral is "partial 16S ribosomal RNA". It matches the Rfam family "Bacterial small subunit ribosomal RNA", at positions 28 to 507 of the family's 1533-position model. The record is from RNAcentral.
GACGAACGCUGGCGGCGUGCUUAACACAUGCAAGUCGAACGGAAAGGCCCUGCUUUUGUGGGGUGCUCGAGUGGCGAACGGGUGAGUAACACGUGAGUAACCUGCCCUUGACUUUGGGAUAACUUCAGGAAACUGGGGCUAAUACCGGAUAGGAGCUCCUGCUGCUUGGUGGGGGUUGGAAAGUUUCGGCGGUUGGGGAUGGACUCGCGGCUUAUCAGCUUGUUGGUGGGGUAGUGGCUUACCAAGGUUUUGACGGGUAGCCGGCCUGAGAGGGUGCCCGGCCACAUGGUGUUUAGGCUACGGCCCGGGCUCAUUCGGGAGCAGGAAGGGGGGAUUGUAACACAAGGGCGGAAGCCUGUUGCAGCAACGCCGCGUGCGGGAUGACGGCCUUCGGGUUGUAAACCGCUUUCGCCUGUGACGAAGCGUGAGUGACGGUAAUGGGUAAAGAAGCACCGGCUAACUACGUG